Molecule: ribosomal RNA, 465 nt
Filed under: Vreelandella stevensii
Lineage: Bacteria; Pseudomonadati; Pseudomonadota; Gammaproteobacteria; Oceanospirillales; Halomonadaceae
Description: partial 16S ribosomal RNA
Rfam family: Bacterial small subunit ribosomal RNA
Source: RNAcentral
CCUACGGGUGGCUGCAGUGGGGAAUAUUGGACAAUGGGGGGAACCCUGAUCCAGCCAUGCCGCGUGUGUGAAGAAGGCCCUCGGGUUGUAAAGCACUUUCAGUGAGGAAGAACGCCUGGUGGUUAAUACCCAUCAGGAAAGACAUCACUCACAGAAGAAGCACCGGCUAACUCCGUGCCAGCAGCCGCGGUAAUACGGGGGGUGCGAGCGUUAAUCGGAAUUACUGGGCGUAAAGCGCGCGUAGGUGGCUUGAUAAGCCGGUUGUGAAAGCCCCGGGCUCAACCUGGGAACGGCAUCCGGAACUGUCAAGCUAGAGUGCAGGAGAGGAAGGUAGAAUUCCCGGUGUAGCGGUGAAAUGCGUAGAGAUCGGGAGGAAUACCAGUGGCGAAGGCGGCCUUCUGGACUGACACUGACACUGAGGUGCGAAAGCGUGGGUAGCAAACAGGAUUAGAUACCCGAGUAGUC